RNAcentral lists this ribosomal RNA (2334 nucleotides) under Paenibacillus odorifer. RNAcentral describes it as "bacterial LSU rRNA". It matches the Rfam family "Bacterial large subunit ribosomal RNA", at positions 589 to 2925 of the family's 2925-position model. Lineage: Bacteria; Bacillati; Bacillota; Bacilli; Caryophanales; Paenibacillaceae. The record is from RNAcentral.
AUGGGUGAUGGCGUGCCUUUUGUAGAAUGAACCGGCGAGUUACGUUUAACAUGCAAGGUUAAGCCGAGAAGGUGGAGCCGCAGCGAAAGCGAGUCUGAAUAGGGCGAUUGAGUAUGUGGACGUAGACCCGAAACCGUGUGAUCUACCCCUGUCCAGGGUGAAGGUGCGGUAACACGCACUGGAGGCCCGAACCCACGUACGUUGAAAAGUGCGGGGAUGAGGUGGGGGUAGCGGAGAAAUUCCAAUCGAACUCGGAGAUAGCUGGUUCUCCCCGAAAUAGCUUUAGGGCUAGCCUCGGUAUAAGAGUAGUGGAGGUAGAGCACUGAUUGGGUGCGGGGUCCGCAAGGAUUACCAAGCUCAGUCAAACUCCGAAUGCCAUAUACUUAUUGCCGGGAGUCAGACAGUGAGUGCUAAGAUCCAUUGUCAAAAGGGAAACAGCCCAGACCAUCAGCUAAGGUCCCCAAGUGUGUGUUAAGUGGGAAAGGAUGUGGAGUUGCACAGACAACCAGGAUGUUGGCUUAGAAGCAGCCACCAUUGAAAGAGUGCGUAAUAGCUCACUGGUCGAGUGACUCUGCGCCGAAAAUGUAACGGGGCUAAACACACCACCGAAGCUAUGGCUAGAUACGUAUGUAUCUGGGGUAGGGGAGCGUUGUGUAGGGGUUGAAGGUGUACUGAAAAGAGCGCUGGACACUACACAAGUGAGAAUGCCGGUAUGAGUAACGAAAAGAUCAGUGAGAAUCUGAUCCGCCGAAAGCCCAAGGUUUCCUGAGGAAGGCUCGUCCGCUCAGGGUAAGUCGGGACCUAAGGCGAGGCCGAAAGGCGUAGUCGAAGGACAACAGUUUGAAAUUACUGUACCACCGUAAUCCGCUAUGAGCGAUGGGGUGACGCAGGAGGGUAGUGACGCGGACUGAUGGAUGUCCGUCUAAGCAGUGAGGCUGAUGUGUAGGCAAAUCCGCACAUCGAUAAGGCUGGCUGUGAUGGGGAGCGAAAAUUAUAGUAGCGAAGGUCAUGAUCUCACACUGCCAAGAAAAGCCUCUAGCCAGGAGAAGGUGCCCGUACCGCAAACCGACACAGGUAGGCGAGAAGAGAAUUCUAAGGCGCGCGGAAGAACUCUCGUUAAGGAACUCGGCAAAAUGACCCCGUAACUUCGGGAGAAGGGGUGCCCCGGUAGUGUGAAUAGCACGAGGGGGCCGCAGUGAAAAGGCCCAAGCGACUGUUUAGCAAAAACACAGGUCUGUGCGAAGCCGCAAGGCGAAGUAUACGGGCUGACGCCUGCCCGGUGCUGGAAGGUUAAGGGGAGUGGUUAGGGGUAACCCGAAGCUAUGAACCGAAGCCCCAGUAAACGGCGGCCGUAACUAUAACGGUCCUAAGGUAGCGAAAUUCCUUGUCAGGUAAAUUCUGACCCGCACGAAUGGCGUAACGACUUGGGCGCUGUCUCAACGAGAGAUCCGGUGAAAUUUUAAUACCUGUGAAGAUGCAGGUUACCCGCGACAAGACGGAAAGACCCCAUGGAGCUUUACUGCAGCUUGAUAUUGAAUUUGGGUACGAUCUGUACAGGAUAGGUGGGAGCCGUAGAAAUCGGAGCGCAAGCUUCGGUGGAGGCGCCGUUGGGAUACCACCCUGAUCGUAUCUAGGUUCUAACCUAGUACCCUUACCGGGUACGGGGACCGUGUCAGGCGGGCAGUUUGACUGGGGCGGUCGCCUCCUAAAGAGUAACGGAGGCGUUCCAAGGUUCCCUCAGAAUGGUUGGAAAUCAUUCGCAGAGUGCAAAGGCAUAAGGGAGCUUGACUGCGAGACCUACAAGUCGAGCAGGGACGAAAGUCGGACUUAGUGAUCCGGUGGUACCGCAUGGAAGGGCCAUCGCUCAACGGAUAAAAGCUACCCUGGGGAUAACAGGCUUAUCUCCCCCAAGAGUCCACAUCGACGGGGAGGUUUGGCACCUCGAUGUCGGCUCAUCGCAUCCUGGGGCUGAAGUAGGUCCCAAGGGUUGGGCUGUUCGCCCAUUAAAGCGGUACGCGAGCUGGGUUCAGAACGUCGUGAGACAGUUCGGUCCCUAUCUGUCGUGGGCGCAGGAAAUUUGAGAGGAGCUGUCCUUAGUACGAGAGGACCGGGAUGGACGUACCGCUGGUGCACCAGUUGUUCCGCCAGGAGCAUGGCUGGGUAGCUACGUACGGACGGGAUAAGCGCUGAAAGCAUCUAAGCGUGAAGCCCCCCUCAAGAUGAGAUUUCCCAAUUAGUAAGACCCCUUGAAGACGACGAGGUAGAUAGGUUGGAGGUGGAAGUGCAGCAAUGCAUGGAGCUGACCAAUACUAAUCGGUCGAGGGCUUAUCCUAU